Molecule: non-coding RNA, 115 nt
Organism: Rattus norvegicus (Norway rat)
Lineage: Eukaryota; Metazoa; Chordata; Mammalia; Rodentia; Muridae
Source: Rfam
UUACAGGUAUGGAGACAUGGUGCCUAAGACAAUUGCUGGGAAGAUAUUUGGCUCCAUCUGCUCCCUAAGCGGCGUCCUGGUCAUUGCUCUGCCAGUCCCCGUCAUAGUCUCCAAC